AAAAACAACAAUUUAAAGCAGUAUUACACUUAUUUUUUUUUAUGUUUAAACCUUUUUCCGUCUUUGACCCAUGUAUGUUUUCAGCUGUAUUU
Molecule: long non-coding RNA, 92 nt
Organism: Sinocyclocheilus grahami
Lineage: Eukaryota; Metazoa; Chordata; Actinopteri; Cypriniformes; Cyprinidae
Exons: 3
Source: RefSeq, a predicted model, not a curated record